RNAcentral lists this long non-coding RNA (1029 nucleotides) under Macaca fascicularis (crab-eating macaque). Its description in RNAcentral is "lncRNA (ENSMFAG00000053577.1)". Lineage: Eukaryota; Metazoa; Chordata; Mammalia; Primates; Cercopithecidae. The record is from RNAcentral.
GGGUGGGGAACAUUAAAUCCUGGUCUCUGCUUCUGGCGGAAAGAGCGCAAAGUGGCCGCGAGAACCUACGCCUGUUAAAGAACUACAAGUCCCAGCAGGCUGCGCGGCUCUCUGGACCUGCUCGGGAUUGGAGUGUAAUGCAGCAUUCUAGGAAAGAGAGUAUGUCUUCUGUGUGUGGCCAACUGGGAUUUGUAGUUCCCAGGCUGGUGUUUCCCGUGUGGUAAGGUACUCAUUACCGUGCUGGAAAGGUUUCGAUUUUUAUUCCAACCGUAUUCUUCUGUUACAGAAUGUACGAAAUUAAGGACAAGUGAUAGUACACAUGAAGUCUAUUUUCUUAUUGCUUAAUCUUAUAAGGACGUCACCUGCUGUUCCUAGUCAUCAAUGAUGUAGGGAUAAAAAGUAUAUGACUUUAAAGUGUGGGUGCAUUGGCUUUCAGAAUAUCAGUUUUUAAGCUGCGAUGCCCACCCAGACUCCAGCCUGUCCAGUGCAAUGGGGACCAGGUACUGUUCCCCGCUGACCCACACGGGCCUGGAACAACUCUCCGCAACAGUUUUCACCUAGUACAUGUUAAAUGGACUCCACUUUCUCCGCUAUCCAUUUCUUCCUUUCAUUUUUACGUUUGUUAAGUCCACUUAUUUUCCUUGAUAUGAACGGUUGGCAGUGGAGACGAGGGGGAAUUCCCUGAAAAAUAUCACCUGCUUCUUUUAGAUGCAAUUACUCCCAGUCACCAAAACUUGGGAGAUCAGGUCUCACGCUGUCACCCACAAUGGACUGCAGUGGUGCAAUCACAGCUCACUGUAGCUUCGACCACGCUGGCUCUGGUCAUCAUCCUACUGCAGCCUCCCAGAUGGAGUCUCUCUCUGUCGACCAGGCUGGAGUGCAGUGGCGCAAUCUCAGCUCACAGCUUCCGGGUUCACGCCAUUCUCCUGCCUCAGCCUCCAGAAUAGCUGGGACUACAGGCAUCUGCCAGCAUGCCCAGAAAUUUUUUUUUUUUUUUGUAUUUUUAGUAGAGAUGGGUUUUCACCGUGU